AAAAGACUAUAUAGGUUGUUGAACUAUAGUGGUUUUGCCAUUUUCAUCUGGCAAUAAUUAUCAGUGUCAAGUCAUUGCAUGCAGAGGUAAUCACUGGUACAAACUAUUCCUCUCGCACAAGAAUGAGCUCAACGUUGUGCUGGUCAGCCUGCAUACUUGUACGUUUGUGUUUACUUGUUAAUGCAAAGCCAGAGUGUGGGAGAGUGUUCUGUGCCCAUACCAGCACACCCUUGGUCUGCACUCCUUUGGAAAGGACACAAAUGGGCCACUUGAAUGUGGAGAAAUUCCAAAGAACCUAUUAAACUACAUGGUUGUAGAAUUCCUACUACCACAAGAUCUUUGAAGGUGAUAAAUUACAAUGUGUGUGCCCUGGAGCAGCGAGGCCAAAAAAGAGUGGAGAAAAAACAUAAUGAACAACAUAACGGGCUUUAGUGAAACCAGGCAACCCUAUGCUUUGAGACAAUUUUUCAAUAAUUUUUUGAACUUUCAUCAAUGACUGAAAAGAUAAUUAAGUGUUUUAUCUCUUCACUAAAAGCAAAAUAAAUAAAAA
Long non-coding RNA from Pristis pectinata (smalltooth sawfish), 550 nucleotides. RefSeq lists it as uncharacterized. NCBI's taxonomy places the organism in Eukaryota, Metazoa, Chordata, Chondrichthyes, Rhinopristiformes, Pristidae. The transcript has 3 exons. The record is from RefSeq and is a predicted model, not a curated record.